RNAcentral lists this ribosomal RNA (300 nucleotides) under uncultured Salegentibacter sp. RNAcentral's name for it is "bacterial SSU rRNA". It matches the Rfam family "Bacterial small subunit ribosomal RNA", at positions 115 to 415 of the family's 1533-position model. Lineage: Bacteria; Pseudomonadati; Bacteroidota; Flavobacteriia; Flavobacteriales; Flavobacteriaceae. The record is from RNAcentral.
GCGUAUAUAACCUACCUUUUAGCGGGGGAUAGCCCAGGGAAACUUGGAUUAAUAUCCCAUGGUAUGUAAGAUCCACCUGGAUUUUACAUUAAACAUUUAUGGCUAUUAGAUGGGUAUGCGUCCUAUUAGUUAGAUGGUAAGGUAACGGCUUACCAUGGCAGCGAUAGGUAGGGGUCCUGAGAGGGAGAUCCCCCACACUGGUACUGAGACACGGACCAGACUCCUACGGGAGGCAGCAGUGAGGAAUAUUGGACAAUGGAGGCAACUCUGAUCCAGCCAUGCCGCGUGCAGGAAGACUGC